UGGGGAAUAUUGGACAAUGGGCGAAAGCCUGAUCCAGCCAUGCCGCGUGUGUGAAGAAGGUCUUCGGAUUGUAAAGCACUUUAAGUUGGGAGGAAGGGCAUUAACCUAAUACGUUAGUGUUUUGACGUUACCGACAGAAUAAGCACCGGCUAACUCUGUGCCAGCAGCCGCGGUAAUACAGGGGGUGCAAGCGUUAAUCGGAAUUACUGGGCGUAAAGCGCGCGUAGGUGGUUUGUUAAGUUGGAUGUGAAAUCCCCGGGCUCAACCUGGGAACUGCAUUCAAAACUGACUGACUAGAGUAUGGUAGAGGGUGGUGGAAUUUCCUGUGUAGCGGUGAAAUGCGUAGAUAUAGGAAGGAACACCAGUGGCGAAGGCGACCACCUGGACUAAUACUGACACUGAGGUGCGAAAGCGUGGGGAGCAAACA
RNAcentral lists this ribosomal RNA (427 nucleotides) under uncultured bacterium. RNAcentral's name for it is "partial 16S ribosomal RNA". It matches the Rfam family "Bacterial small subunit ribosomal RNA", at positions 355 to 774 of the family's 1533-position model. The record is from RNAcentral.